UCCCACUCCUGGCCAGGGUGCUCUGUGGCCUCGGAAAGGAGCUGCCCCAUCCGGGAACCUACUGUGCAGCUCCAUUGCUCACGGGCAAAGGGACAGCUUCCAGGAGAGACAUGGGACAACAGCUGUCCUCAUGUCUGGAUGGCUGAUGAUGGGGGAGGGUCUCAGAGUUGCAGGACCAAUGGAGUGAUGGCCCGGCCCCCCUGCUCCAGACUCCGAGGGGAGAGCCUCCAGGGUCCCGUGGCUGCCAUGACAGCGUCAGAGGAACGGAUUCUCUCACAGGCCGGGCUGCGGGAAGUCUGAGACCCAGGGAUUGAGGGCAGGAUCCUUCCGGCCCACUCCAGAUUCAAAUUCUGGCCUCCUCUCCACAUGGCUCCGCCUCCUCCGCAUCUGUGCUCUCUCCAGCUGUGUCUGUGGGGACGCAGGGCCCCAAGUUCCCUGGAGUGAGUGCUCCGCAGAGCCUCCAAGACGAAGACAAUGGGAGCAGUCACCACGCGCGACCCCAGGGCCCUUGCUCCUGGCAGCAGAAGGAGGGAUAAGAAAAUGCAGGCUCAACUUGCACCAGUUCACAGGGGCUGGUGCCACACCAACGGCUGUGCUGUGCCAUCUGCUCCUGUCCUGUGCUGGCUAAUAAACUCCUAAAUACCAAA
This 647-nucleotide long non-coding RNA is filed under the name Chinchilla lanigera (long-tailed chinchilla). RNAcentral's name for it is "lncRNA (ENSCLAG00000028450.1)". Lineage: Eukaryota; Metazoa; Chordata; Mammalia; Rodentia; Chinchillidae. The record is from RNAcentral.